UCUUUUUUCUAAUUUUUUUUUUUCUGUUUAGUUUAAGGUUUGUCUUCGUGUGGUCUUUCAAUGGGAUAUGGUCUUGUUUGUGCAGGGGUUCUGGAAUUUUAACAUGAACAGUCGAGUGGCCGGAGCUAGUUGUUUUGGUGGAGCCAACAAAGAGGUUGAUUCCAGAUCUGUUAGAGAUGUGAUGCAGUUUGAGGCUGGUGUUAAUCGAGGGUGACUUAGUCUAGUGGCAAGUUAUAAGUUCACUGAUGGACAUGCACCAUCACACCAGGGAUCGAGUCGCGCUCCCUACAUAUUUGUAAGGAUUAGGCUAAUGGGUUGGCCAGUUGUGGCCCAUUGUUGACCAAAAAAAAACUAGGUGGUAACUGGUGUUUAUUGGCGUUGUAGACUUGUAAUCGUCAACGUCGUAUCUGGAAGCGAAAUGUACGUAUUUGUUCUCCAUUUAUCUGUCUUGCUUGGCGGAUCACGAAGUCUUGAUUCCUAGUUUCGAGAUUUUGGCUCUCAUUGUGAUAAGAGGAGGUAGAAGUUAUCAUUUUUGGAUUGGCCAUAUACAUUCUUGGUAAAUCUCAUUCAAUGGUUUUUUGCUAAGAAGAGGUCUUUUUGCUUUCUUAGAUUCUAUUAGCUUUUCAGUUUAAAGUCGUGUUGCUUUUGUGAGUGUUAGGUUUUGAUCGCUAGCUUUUCUUGUUUUAAUUAUAUGUGCUGUAUUUCUAUAUUGUAUUUCUCUUUUGUAUGGUCUUAGCUUCUAGGGGGAUAUUGUCUUCCUCCGCCUUUGUCUCCUCUCUAUUACCCAAAAAAAAAACUCCGAAGGGAUUGAGGAGUUAUUAUACUGUAAUAAAACAAAGAUUAGAAUUACGUUACAAUAACUUUUA
Molecule: long non-coding RNA, 866 nt
Organism: Capsella rubella
Lineage: Eukaryota; Viridiplantae; Streptophyta; Magnoliopsida; Brassicales; Brassicaceae
Exons: 2
Source: RefSeq, a predicted model, not a curated record